GAUGAACGCUGGCGGCGUGCCUAAUACAUGCAAGUCGAGCGGACAGACGAGGAGCUUGCUCCUUUGACGUUAGCGGCGGACGGGUGAGUAACACGUAGGUAACCUACCUAUAAGACUGGGAUAACUUCGGGAAACCGGAGCUAAUACCGGAUAAUAUUUCGAACCGCAUGGUUCGAUAGUGAAAGAUGGCUUUGCUAUCACUUAUAGAUGGACCUGCGCCGUAUUAGCUAGUUGGUAAGGUAACGGCUUACCAAGGCAACGAUACGUAGCCGACCUGAGAGUGUGAUCGGCCACACUGGAACUGAGACACGGUCCAGACUCCUACGGGAGGCAGCAGUAGGGAAUCUUCCGCAAUGGGCGAAAGCCUGACGGAGCAACGCCGCGUGAGUGAUGAAGGUCUUCGGAUCGUAAAACUCUGUUAUUAGGGAAGAACAAACGUGUAAGUAACUGUGCACGUCUUGACGGUACCUAAUCAGAAAGCCACGGCUAACUACGUG
Molecule: ribosomal RNA, 497 nt
Filed under: uncultured bacterium
Lineage: Bacteria
Description: partial 16S ribosomal RNA
Rfam family: Bacterial small subunit ribosomal RNA
Source: RNAcentral